This is a long non-coding RNA of Syngnathoides biaculeatus (alligator pipefish), 463 nucleotides long. RefSeq lists it as uncharacterized. The transcript has 2 exons. NCBI's taxonomy places the organism in Eukaryota, Metazoa, Chordata, Actinopteri, Syngnathiformes, Syngnathidae. The record is from RefSeq and is a predicted model, not a curated record.
AAAAGCUAGCAACGGUAAUGAGGAAGUGUGUUGUAUGCGGCUGUUCUGAGUCAAACGCCGACGCAGUCAGCUUACAUGAAUGGCCGAAAGAUUAACAGAUAGGCAAAUCAUGGACCAGGUUUGUGUAGACAAAACGGGCGUAUUGGACUUACAAAUCAAAGUCGACAGUAAUACUGUAUGUUCCAAGCAUUUCACGGAGGACUGCUUUGAAAACCUGAUACAGCGUUCACUUGGCUUCGGUAGCAAGGCAUGCGGAACACCUGUUAGAAGAGCGCCGGACCCUCUAUGUGGAUGCAGGCGUAAAAACUUCCUCUGUUGACACCCAAGCACCACCCCCUCUCAGCAGCCAGUACACAAAACCAAGCAAACACUUGGCUAUUCAGGAUCAUUUUUCAAGAUUUUCAAAUCAAAGCUGUUGAAAUGAUAUGUUGUGAAAAUUAAAAAAAUAAUAAUAAUACUUCAA